GGAUAAGACGCUGCCUCGUGUCUAUACAAGGUUUCUCGUAAUGGCUCAGGUUCAACGGGUUUGGUGUAAUCCGAAGACACGACCGGAAAAGCUUUUGUCCCUGGUGGAACGAUCUCCUCAGGUGCCGGAACACUAGCUUCUCCGGGAUGACUCAGUGACUCAGGCAAGGGACAAACCUGGCGCGCCGUGCAAUUGUGGGUCUUGCUCGUCAUUAUCAUCAUCUUCUAUUUCGACAUCAUGAUUGUGCUCAUGACCCUGACCAUGUUUGAAGCAUGAGGAGGGUUUAAUAGAGACAGGAGAAAGAGCGAUGACAUGUGGCCGAACCAUCUCCCUUUGGCUUGUAACUCUCUACUUCUGUAGGAUACUGACACGUUCGAUGUGUCCGUUUGGUCCUGCCACGUCUCAGAGCUUUGUUUUAUACGUGGCUAUGUUGCCAAAUAAAUCAUGAGUUAUUCUUGGGUUCACCCCUAGGUUUAGGUUCACCAACCAAUAGAAAAUUGUCAUUUUAAAUCUAGUAUCUUUUAAUUAAGGAAACCAAAUAACUUUCAAAUUAUAUUAUUUUUUCAAAAUAAAAUUUAAAAAUAAAUAAAAAUAAUAUAUAAAAAACGAAUUCAA
This is a long non-coding RNA of Brassica napus (rape), 615 nucleotides long. RefSeq lists it as uncharacterized. Lineage: Eukaryota; Viridiplantae; Streptophyta; Magnoliopsida; Brassicales; Brassicaceae. The transcript has 3 exons. The record is from RefSeq and is a predicted model, not a curated record.